CCUACGGGCGGCAGCAGUAGGGAAUCUUGCUCAAUGGGGGAAACCCUGAAGCAGCAACGCCGCGUGGAGGAUGAAGGUUUUCGGAUUGUAAACUCCUUUUGUUAGAGAAGAUAAUGACGGUAUCUAACGAAUCAGCACCGGGUAACUCCGUGCCAGCAGCCGCGGUCUUACGGAGGGUGCACGCGUUACUCGGAAUCACUGGGCGUAACGAGCGCGUAGGCGGGAUAGCAAGUCAGAUGUGAAAUCCUAGGGCUUAACCAUAGAAGUGCAUUUGACACUGGGAUUCUAGAGUAUGGGAGAGGAAGGUGGAAUUCGAGGUGUAGGGGUAAAAUCCGUAGAGAUCAAGAGGAACACUCAUGGCGAAGGCGACCUGCUAGAACAUAACUGACGCUGAUGCGCGAAAGCGUGGGGAGCAAACAGGAUUAGAUACCCGGGUAGUC
RNAcentral lists this ribosomal RNA (440 nucleotides) under uncultured bacterium. RNAcentral describes it as "partial 16S ribosomal RNA". It matches the Rfam family "Bacterial small subunit ribosomal RNA", at positions 338 to 795 of the family's 1533-position model. The record is from RNAcentral.